This 72-nucleotide transfer RNA is filed under the name Xenopus laevis (African clawed frog). It matches the Rfam family "tRNA". Rfam says of the family: Transfer RNA (tRNA) molecules are approximately 80 nucleotides in length. Their secondary structure includes four short double-helical elements and three loops (D, anti-codon, and T loops). Further hydrogen bonds mediate the characteristic L-shaped molecular structure. tRNAs have two regions of fundamental functional importance: the anti-codon, which is responsible for specific mRNA codon recognition, and the 3' end, to which the tRNAs corresponding amino acid is attached (by aminoacyl-tRNA synthetases). tRNAs cope with the degeneracy of the genetic code in two manners: having more than one tRNA (with a specific anti-codon) for a particular amino acid; and 'wobble' base-pairing, i.e. permitting non-standard base-pairing at the 3rd anti-codon position. The record is from Rfam by way of RNAcentral. Lineage: Eukaryota; Metazoa; Chordata; Amphibia; Anura; Pipidae.
GUGUUGGUGGUAUAGUGGCGAGCGUAGCUGCCUUCCUAGCAGUUGACUUGGGUUUGAUUCCCAGCCAACGCG